RNAcentral lists this ribosomal RNA (271 nucleotides) under uncultured prokaryote. RNAcentral describes it as "partial 16S ribosomal RNA". It matches the Rfam family "Bacterial small subunit ribosomal RNA", at positions 524 to 794 of the family's 1533-position model. The record is from RNAcentral.
UACGUAGGGGGCAAGCGUUAUCCGGAUUUACUGGGUGUAAAGGGAGCGCAGACGGCAGUGCAAGUCUGAUGUGAAAGCCCGGGGCUCAACCCCGGAACUGCAUUGGAAACUGUACAGCUUGAGUGUCGGAGAGGUAAGCGGAAUUCCUAGUGUAGCGGUGAAAUGCGUAGAUAUUAGGAGGAACACCGGUGGCGAAGGCGGCUUACUGGACGAUGACUGACGUUGAGGCUCGAAAGCGUGGGGAGCAAACAGGAUUAGAUACCCGCGUAGU